Cervus elaphus (red deer) is the source of this 152-nucleotide long non-coding RNA. RefSeq lists it as uncharacterized. The record is from RefSeq and is a predicted model, not a curated record. The transcript has 3 exons. NCBI's taxonomy places the organism in Eukaryota, Metazoa, Chordata, Mammalia, Artiodactyla, Cervidae.
CAACUUGAUCUCUGGUUCCUGGUAGCUUGAAGGAUUUCGAGCAUAACUUUGCUGGCAUGUGAAAUGAAUGCAACUGUAUAGUAGUUUGAGCAUUCCUUGGCAUUGCCCUUCUUUGGGAUUGGGAUGAAAACUGACCUUUUCCAGUCCUGUGG